GAUGAACGCCGGCGGCGUGCUUAACACAUGCAAGUCGAACGGGAAAUACUUUAUUGAAACUUCGGUGGAUUUAAUUUAUUUCUAGUGGCGGACGGGUGAGUAACGCGUGGGUAACCUGCCUUAUACUGGGGGAUAACAGCCAGAAAUGACUGCUAAUACCGCAUAAGCGCACAGAACCGCAUGGUUCGGUGUGAAAAACUCCGGUGGUAUAAGAUGGACCCGCGUUGGAUUAGCUAGUUGGCAGGGCAGUGGCCUACCAAGGCGACGAUCCAUAGCCGGCCUGAGAGGGUGAACGGCCACAUUGGGACUGAGACACGGCCCAGACUCCUACGGGAGGCAGCAGUGGGGAAUAUUGCACAAUGGGGGAAACCCUGAUGCAGCGACGCCGCGUGAAGGAAGAAGUAUCUCGGUAUGUAAACUUCUAUCAGCAGGGAAGAUAAUGACGGUAC
This 449-nucleotide ribosomal RNA is filed under the name uncultured bacterium. RNAcentral describes it as "bacterial SSU rRNA". It matches the Rfam family "Bacterial small subunit ribosomal RNA", at positions 28 to 478 of the family's 1533-position model. The record is from RNAcentral.